UACGGUGUGGCCCGCCGUGGUGUUCGGGAAGACCGGUGACGGACCUUCAGAGGUCCCAUUCCGGAGCGGCCCUCGCCACUGUGAACGGGAAGUCUCCGUACCGUGUCCGCCCUCGGGCGGGCGGUCACUGGACGCCGAGGCGUCCGGGAAGGCCUGGUGCGGUCGCGCAGCACCCUCCGCCCCUACGCGGCCGGGUGUGCCCCGAAGCCAGGAGACCGGCCACGGCAUCUCACGAAGU
RNAcentral lists this non-coding RNA (238 nucleotides) under Streptomyces sp. Lineage: Bacteria; Bacillati; Actinomycetota; Actinomycetes; Kitasatosporales; Streptomycetaceae. The record is from RNAcentral.